Molecule: ribosomal RNA, 385 nt
Filed under: uncultured bacterium
Lineage: Bacteria
Description: bacterial SSU rRNA
Rfam family: Bacterial small subunit ribosomal RNA
Source: RNAcentral
AUUGAACGCUGGCGGCAUGCCUUACACAUGCAAGUCGAACGGCAGCGGACCUUCGGGNGCCGGCGAGUGGCGAACGGGUGAGUAAUAUAUCGGAACGUACCUUUCAGUGGGGGAUAACGUAGCGAAAGUUACGCUAAUACCGCAUAUUCUGUGAGCAGGAAAGCAGGGGAUCGCAAGACCUUGCGCUGAUUGAGCGGCCGAUAUCAGAUUAGCUAGUUGGUGAGGUAAAGGCUCACCAAGGCGACGAUCUGUAGCGGGUCUGAGAGGAUGAUCCGCCACACUGGAACUGAGACACGGUCCAGACUCCUACGGGAGGCAGGCAGUGGGGAAUUUUGGACAAUGGGCGCAAGCCUGAUCCAGCCAUGCCGCGUGAGUGAAGAAGGCC